AGACCUGUAGUUCAACGGUUAGAACGAACAACCGAUAAUUGUUAGACGAUGGUUCAACUCCAUCUUGGUCUA
Molecule: transfer RNA, 72 nt
Filed under: Sphingobacteriaceae bacterium
Lineage: Bacteria; Pseudomonadati; Bacteroidota; Sphingobacteriia; Sphingobacteriales; Sphingobacteriaceae
Description: tRNA-Ile
Rfam family: tRNA
About the family: Transfer RNA (tRNA) molecules are approximately 80 nucleotides in length. Their secondary structure includes four short double-helical elements and three loops (D, anti-codon, and T loops).
Source: RNAcentral